CCUGCCUCAGCCUCCCGAGUAGCUGGGACUACAGGUGCAUGCCACCAUGCUCGGCUAAUUUUUGUAUUUUUAGUAGAGGCGGGGUUUCACCAUGUUGGCCAGGCUGGUCUCAAACUCCUGGCCUCAUGUGAUCUGCCUGCCUCAACCUCCCAAAGUGCUGGGAUUACAGGCAUGAGCCACCGCCCCUCACCUAAUUUGGUAUAGUUUCUUAAGCUUUUUGUUUUUCAUGAUAUUGACAAUUUUGAAGAAUACAAGCCAGUUAUUUUAUCAAAUGUUUCUCAAUUUGAUUUUGUCUCAUGUUUCUCCACUAUUAUGUUUAGGCUAUACAUCCCUGGCUAGAAUAUUAUGGAAGUCAUGUUGUGUCUCUUGGGGUAUCACCUAUGAAGGCCUGUCACCCCACCUGCCUCUUGCGGGUAAUUAUUUUGACCACCUGCCCAAGGUAUUGUUCAAUUUUUCCACCGUAUAUUUACUAUUUUCUCCCUUGGAGCUAAUAAGCAAUCUAUGGGGAAACACUGGUGCCACGAAGACAUCCUACUCCUCAUCCAAAUUUCUUUUUAAGUUUAGCUUUCACUGAUGAUUCUUGUCUCAACCAAUCUUUGCUAUAAUGAUUGCAGAAACAUAAUUUUCCAGCUCCACCCCCUCCUUCUGUGUUUAUUGUUCAGGAUUCUGCUGUCAGGAGGAGACUUCUCUUGUCCUUCAUUUUUUUUUUUGUUUUUCUAUUUAUUAUUAUCAUUUUUUAGAGACUGGGUCUAGUUCUGUUACGUAGGUGGGAGUGCAGUGGCAUGAUCAUAGCUCACUGCAGCCUUGACCUCCUGCGCUCAAGGAAUCCUCCUGCCUUAGCCUCCUGAGUAGCUAGGUCUAUAGGCUUGUGCCCCACGCCUGGUUAUUUUAAAUUUUUUUGUAGAGACAAGGCCUUACUAUGUUGCCCAGGCUGGUCUCAAACUCUUGGGCUCAAGUGAUCCUUCUGCCUCGGCCUCUCAAAUUGUUGGGAUUACAGGCAUGAGCCACUGAGCUUGAGACUGUUUAUUUUAUGGAUUCAUUGAUUCCUAUUAUAUUUAAUGAGUUAUAAUCCAUAGUGUCCUUAUUUAUUUUGACACUCAAAUUGUCCCAGAUUUGGGUCAUAGGAGCAUCUUCAGGCUGGCUCCUGUAUCCUUCGGCAUGCUCUCCUCUUCUGCUUUGAGGACGUCGUUGAUUUCUAGGCCUGUACAAUACUCCAGGCUCAUCUUGUGCCUUCCCUGUCUCAGCUCUAAGACUGUCGAUGUCUCUAACAAGCCCUCGGUCCUAGAUCUGGUUGUAGUUGUGUUAUUGCCAGUGGGUGUCAUUGCUUCUAGGGUGUUUCAGUGGCCAGAGUUGGGAUAAAUAUGUGUGUGUGUUCACAUAUGCGUAAAUAAAACCAUACAAUAACUAUAAUAUGUAUGUGUGUGUAUCUAUAUCUAUAUAUGGUUGUAUUAUUGGAAAUAUACAUUCAUAUUGAGAUCUCCAAUUCUAAUUCAAUGCAAAUGUUCUUCUUUCACCCAGGACUGUCCACAUAUUUUGCAGAGUCCAAGUAAAAUGUAGGACUCCGUUUUCAAAAUUUAUUCAGUAUUUCAAAACAGCAACAGCAGAGCAUUAACCCAAAUAAAGGGCAAGGGGUCCCUGCCAAACCUGGGGCCCCGCAUGAUGGCCUUGGUCUCAUGCGUGCGAAGCAGGCCUUGCCUCCAUUAUGCUCACAGGGAGAAUGCUGGCUCACAGCAUUGACAGCGUAACGCAAGAUUGUCUGCGGAAUUUGGGGACUAUGUGAAAGAAAAAAGCAGAAUUUAGAGGUGCUAAAUUAUAAAUCUUUCACCUUUUUUCUCUUGUCAUGUUGUUUUUUAAAAUUUGCUAUUUAAUGUUAUUCAAAAUAAAGAAACAAGUUAUUAGCAUGAGUUCUACAGUUCGUCCUUAUAUUGUGCAGUGACAAUUUUACAUGCAAACAUAAGCGCAUUUAACUCAUAAGUGGGUUCACCACAAUCACACAACUGGUAUUUCCCAGCUUGUAUAGGCAUAUGUAUCUUGUUCUUAUGAGAACAAUGGAGAUAUUGUACAAAACAAACUCACUGCUUUUAUUCACCGCUUGAUAACGCUCAUGUUCUGCCAUUGCUGGCUACCCUGGACGUACGUACUAAUGAGUGAGGAAGGUCUGAAAGGAGAAGGAACUGUGGGUUUCACUGGCUUUCCCUUUCCUCACUUCAGCAUGUGUACUUGGCUAAUACAGGGAAGUAGGAGGUCAGGAUGAGGCUCCUUAGUGGUUAGAGUUUCUUAGAACGUCAUUGCCUUCUUUCUGCAGUCAGGGCAAGUUCUGGGUCAAACAGAAAGUGCGGUGUCUCGGGGCUGUUGGCGUUCUUACUUACUCACUUGUAGACAUAGCACGCUUCCUUUCAGCCCCUUCUACUCACUUGCUGAAUUCCCAGCCAUCAAGGCAGCAAGCUUCACUUCUCAAACAUCAGUUCAAAGAUCAAAUUACUGGCCGGGUGCAGUGGCUCAUGCCUGUAAUCUCAGCAUUUUGGGAGGCCGAGGCGGGCGGAUCACCUGAAGUCAGGAGUUCGAGACCAGCCUGGCCAACAUGGUGAAACCCCGUCUCUACUAAAAAUACAAAAAUUAGCCAGGCAUGGUGGCGGGCGCCUGUAGUCCCAGCUACUCGGGAGGCUGAAGCAGGAGAAUCGCUUGAACCCGGGAGGCAGAGGUUGCAGUGAGCCGAGAUGGUGCCACUGCACUCCAGCCUGGGUGACAGAGCGAGACCCUAUCUCAAAAAAAAAAAAAAAAAAAAAAAUCAAAUUACUAAGAAUUUCAAGCUGGCAAUGACAGUGUUAAACCAUGUGUAGUGUCCUGAGCAUGGGGCCCUGUGCGACGGAGCAGUUCUCAUGUCCGCUGCUUUUCAAGGAUUUUCCUGUCUCCCCUCCCCCACGCCACUUCCAUGGUCUGGAAGCCACAGGCAGAGCCCCUAAGGUGGUUAUGUUGAGAUUAGGUGUGGAAUUCUUGGCAUCAUUUGAAGUUACUCUGUAUCCCAGUAAUGCUGAAAGCAUGUGUGUCUUAUUUGUACUUCUUGAUAAACUUCUUUUUGGAGAUUGCGUAGAGGGUUUUUAAUUCAAGUGGCUGCUAUUAUGCCUCAUGCUAGGAACCUUUUUGGGGGUGCUUUUCUAUACUAUUAUAAAAAUUAUAUAAGGCUAGGCACGGUGGCUCAUGCCUGUAAUCCCAGCACUUGAGGUCAGGAGUUUGAGACCAGCUUGGCCAACAUGGAGAAACCCCAUCUCUACUAAAAAUACAAAAAUUAGCCAGGGAUGUUUGCGUGCACCUGUAAUCCCAGCUACUCAGGAGGCUGAGGCAGGAGAAUCACUCGAACGCAGGAGGUGGAGGUUGCAGUGAGCCAAGAUUGUGCCACUGCACUCCAGCCUGGGUGACAGAAUGAUACUCCGUCUCCAAAUAAAUAAAUAAAUAGAAAUUAUAUAAAUAUAUUUAAUAAAAAAGACUAGUUAACUUUUUUUUUUGUACUGGAUCAUACAUUCACAAAUUUCAAACAUAAAGAGGUUAAAGAGGCUGGGUGAUGUGGCUCAUGCCUAUAAUCCCAGCACUUUGAGAGGCUGAGACAGGCCAAUUGCUUGAGCCCAGGAGUUCGAGACCAGCCUAGGCAACUUGGCAAAACCCUGUUUUUACUAAAAAUACAAAAAACUAGCUGGGCAUGGUGGUGCAUGACUGUAGUCCCAGCUAUUUGGGAGGCUGAGGUGGGAGGAUCACCUGAGCCCAGGAAGUUGAGGCUGCAGUAAGCUGAGAUCGUACCACUGCACUCCAGCCUGGGAGACAAGAGUGAGAUCCUGUCUCAAAAAAAAAAAAAAAAAAAAAAGUUAAAGAUUUUUAAAAAUUCAUUUUUUAAUUAUUUACUGCUAGUAUGUAGAAAUGACAAUUGCUUUUUAAAACAGUAGUUGUCAACAUGGGCUCCCCUCCCUGGGUCUUCAUCUUCCCUGAAUGGCGAUUCUUCAGUAUAUUUUUACUUCCCUAUAUGCCCAAGCAGAUUAUUUUUACGUUUUUUUUUUUUCAGCUGUUAGAUAAAGAUACUGAGAUACCAAGAACAUAAAUAACUUUUCCUAAACAAAUUUAAGACUGAAUUAUAGACUCAGUGAUCUAGGAUGAUUUAUGUACUUAUUUAUUUUCAGAGAUGGUUGCCCAGGCUGGUCUUGAACUCCUGGGCCCAAUAAAUCCUCUUGUCUCAGCUUCCUGAGCAGCUGGGACUACAGGUAUGCACCACUGCACCUGGAUAGGAUGAUUUGGUCUUGUCUUAAGGAGCAACACAUACAUAUAUUUUUUUCCCUUUUCCAGAUUCCGGGGUCUGUUAUCUGUGUGAUGAGGCCAUGGGGAAAAUGCAGUGAAUAUAGGCUUUGCCAUAGCCUAUGUCCUUAUGGGAAUGGUGAGGAGGCCUGGCCAUCUUGAGGCAACAGGCUGGAAGACUCAGCCCUGAAUGAGAGGAAAGAGCAGAGGGUGGGCAAGUGAGAAAUAAAGCAAGAUGGAAGCACUGGAGAGAGGAGCUGUAGCCAUAUCAGACCAACCUUGUUCAGUUUUUAGUGAACAAAGUUACGAGUUGUUUUUCAGUUGCUGUGGACCCCCAGAUUGAAGUUCAAGUAACGUGAGCAUGCCCAGGUGAACCAAUCGUGCAACCACGGGUGGAACCUAAGUGCUCAGACUGAGCAGUGGGGACUGAAUUAAGGAGCGAACACUGCAGGCAGGAUCCAGGAUCCAAUCAGAUUGGACCCUGGUGCCACCCCAUGGCAGGAUUCAGUCAGAUCAUGCCUCCCAGUAUCAUCUCAUCGCAAGAUCCAAUCACAUCAUGCCUCAUUACCCUAUGCUUAUAAAACCCAUUGCAGCCCCCAGCUCACGGAGACAGAGCAGAGAGCUUCCUCCUCUCUCCUUGUGAGUUGACUCACAAUACAUCUUUCUCACUGCGAAAAUCCAGUGCUUCAGCGUUAUAUUUGUUAAGGUGGAUUUUAUGACCCAGAAUAUGAUCUGUCUUGAUGAAUGUUCCAUGUGAGCUUGAGAAGAUUGUGUAUUUUGCUGUUGUUGAAAGGAUUAUUAAUAAAUGUCAAU
This 5091-nucleotide long non-coding RNA is filed under the name Homo sapiens (human). RNAcentral describes it as "HSALNT0158347". The record is from RNAcentral. Lineage: Eukaryota; Metazoa; Chordata; Mammalia; Primates; Hominidae.